UGUAACUCCACUUCCAGGAGAUCUGAUGCC
This 30-nucleotide non-coding RNA is filed under the name Mus musculus (house mouse). The record is from RNAcentral. Lineage: Eukaryota; Metazoa; Chordata; Mammalia; Rodentia; Muridae.